GAAGCCACAGACACAGAAGUUUGGACAAUUUGUCUGACUUCAUAUUACGAGGUUGAGCUCCUAUCUCUUUGUGGCCACAGCUCAUUUUCCUACUGGAAUGUCCGUUUUGCAAGAGCAGGGACUGUAUGCUUUUUCUUCACCACUCAAUCCCCAGUAAAACAGCACUUGUGGUAGGUUUUCAACAAAUACUUGUCGCACAGAAGAAGGCCUUGGGCCCAAGAGAAAGUUCAGUGACUUGUCUCUGAUACCAAAGUCAAUAGCAGAAUGGCAAACAGAACUUCCAUCUCCAAACGCUUCAUUGAAUAUUUUUCCAUCACAUAAUGCGAGUGGAGAAAGGGAAAGGAGAAAACAUGCACAUGAAAGAGGAGGCAGAUAAGAACAUUAGUAGAGGAUUUUUAAAAAGACUUUUUUGGGGAUACACCUUAGCCUACAGCCUGUAGCUUCCUGUCACUAAACAUUUCUAAGUUCAUUCUUUGUUUCAAAUACUUUUUAACAUGCAGAGGUAUACGCAGAUGAUUCACAAAUCCCAAACCACAGCCUAAGCAGGAGACCACAACAUUUCCUUCCUGAGCUCGGUGCUAAGAAAACAGAGAACGGAUUCACGAGACCAGAACAGAUGCCUGGGGUGCGCAGCAGACAGACUCCAGCCAGGUCAUUCUGGAUGGACCAUCCUUCCAAUUUGGAAAGAUCUUCAGGGAGCGAUAUUUGACAGCAUAUUUCUCCCCCUACAACUUAAUUCCAAAAGGUCUUCCAGCUUUGAAAAAUCCUUUAAACUUUAGUUCUUGUUUUUAAAACUGGAAAAUGAGGUGUCAGAAAAAAAUAAUAACAGCUUGGAGUUAAUCUGAGAAUGAAAGGAACUAAAGAAGAGGAUAAGGAAUGCACAGCUACCAAAAUGUGGAGGUGGCUCAGACUCCAUAACGUCUAAUUCAUGUGGCAUGUAAUCUUCUUAAACAGUGAUUAUAGCUACGAAAUGUACACUCGAAGUGCCUAGAAUUGUCAUUAAUUACUCUGCAAUAUCCCAUCGACCAGAUUCUCCCUUCAAGUGAAUACACGUGGCUUCCGUUGAAAUUAGUGGAUGUCACUUUCAGGUACUCAAGAGGAGAAUUAUGUUCCGUGACCUCCCAGGCAUGGUGAAGACUUUUACUUACAAACAAUUGUUAAGGAAGGUUUCUACCAGAAGCAGUCAGCAAUAGGGAAGAAAUUAAAUACCUAUAUUUCAAUGGAGCUUUCUUUUUUUUUUCUUUUUUUCUUUUUUUUUUUUUUUUUGCUUUCAGGGCUGCACCCUCGGCAUAUGGAGGUUCCCAGAAACAGCAAAAAGACAAAAAAAAAAAAAAAAAAAAAAAAA
Molecule: long non-coding RNA, 1345 nt
Filed under: Sus scrofa (pig)
Lineage: Eukaryota; Metazoa; Chordata; Mammalia; Artiodactyla; Suidae
Description: lncRNA (ENSSSCG00025066409.1)
Source: RNAcentral